Rattus norvegicus (Norway rat) is the source of this 144-nucleotide small nucleolar RNA. Ensembl annotates it as small nucleolar RNA SNORA48. The record is from Ensembl. NCBI's taxonomy places the organism in Eukaryota, Metazoa, Chordata, Mammalia, Rodentia, Muridae.
ACCCCCUGGCAAUGGACAAAGAGAUGCCUUGUUAGGGGUGGUGCUCUUAUAUCAGUCAGGGGCAGAGCAGAUGGCAGGCCGUUGUUCAUCCUAGCUUGGUGCCUGCCUUGGUGGCCAUAGUUGUCUUAUGCCUAAGACUCAUAA